This 244-nucleotide ribosomal RNA is filed under the name uncultured bacterium. RNAcentral's name for it is "partial 16S ribosomal RNA". It matches the Rfam family "Bacterial small subunit ribosomal RNA", at positions 528 to 771 of the family's 1533-position model. The record is from RNAcentral.
UAUGGAGCAAGCGUUAUCCGGAUUUACUGGGUGUAAAGGGAGCGUAGGCGGGUUUUUAAGUCAGUUGUGAAAGUUUGCGGCUCAACCGUAAAAUUGCAGUUGAAACUGGAAGCCUUGAGUGUACACAGGGGUGCCGGAAUUCAUGGUGUAGCGGUGAAAUGCUUAGAUAUCAUGAAGAACUCCGACCGCGAAGGCAAGUGCCCGGAGUACAACUGACGCUGAGGCUCGAAAGUGCGGGUAUCAA